Octopus sinensis (East Asian common octopus) is the source of this 276-nucleotide long non-coding RNA. RefSeq lists it as uncharacterized. The record is from RefSeq and is a predicted model, not a curated record. The transcript is spliced from 2 exons. NCBI's taxonomy places the organism in Eukaryota, Metazoa, Mollusca, Cephalopoda, Octopoda, Octopodidae.
AGAGUUUGUACGUUUUUGUGUGUAAGCUGAGUUUGAAGUUUUGUGUGUCGGUAUUUCCUCAGCGUAACCAAUCAGCCGCCCAAGUUUCGAUUCUCAGUCGGAACCCCGUUCUUUUUACAUUAGUAAUAUCACUUGCAAAGGCAUGAACUCCAAAACCUCCCGAUUCCUCUUCUCUCCCCACUGCCUCUAGCUCCUUUCACAUUCUUCUACAUACCUUUGAUGGGACACCAAUGCUGUCUCUUUUAAAGGGAUUUUGUUUCCACUUUGAAAAGAGAA